ACGCACUCGGGGCUGCCGGUCCUGGGAGCGGGAGCGUCCUGGCGUCUGGCGUCAAAGACAGUUUCCGUGCUGUAACACCAUCACAAUCUCACCAAGUGAGAGGGACCCAUACUAAACAAUGGAGAACAUUCUGGCACGUGCUUAUCAGUGUUCACCUCCAAUACCCUCUGUCUGCAUUCUAAGAGCGAGCCUAAGAUCUUCACAUUUGAUCAUGUGGCAGAUAUGGACACCACUCAGAUGGUGCAGAAAGACCAAUAUGAGUUCCUGAACAGAACAUCCGGAUCUGUGCUCAAAGUGACCCAGGAACUCAGACUGCAGAACAAGCACAGAGACAAAAGAACAAGGAAGGAACACUCAAGAUGAUGGAGCAAGACCCUGAAGUUUGAUAAAAGUAUUGACUCUCAUUUUCUCCUGCAGCCUUGAGGUGUUGUUUUUUGUCAGUGCCUGUACAAUGUACUCUUUCAUCUUACAAGGACAAGCUGGUCAGAAUUGAGUUUCCUCCUCUUCUCCAUCGUGGAAUAUGAUUUCUCAAGGAAGUAUCAACCCUAGGACACAUUGCUAAAGUGACUAACAUUGUACAAGAAGAGUUAAGUUUGCAUUGCUUACCACCUUGCAGGGGGAUUAUACCAUGGCAAAGGGAUGCUUCCAGUGUGUUUUAGGAUAGAGGUGACUUUUGAUCAUUGUGUUAUCUGGGAUAUUGUAUCCUUUGUAUCACAUAUUGUCUUAUCGAUGUCAUUUGACAACAGCUUCAUUGUGUUAGCUAGGAUAUUGUAUCUUUUGUAUAUUUACCAACUUUAAGAAGCACUGAAGCAUUGGUUUGAAAUGUCUGUGAUUUGUCUUUUGUUAACAGUCAUUUCCCAGGGACUCAACCCCAGAACCUAGCCGAGAAAUUCUGGAAAAUUGGGUGUAACCAAUAUAGUUAAAAAGU
Long non-coding RNA from Phascolarctos cinereus (koala), 928 nucleotides. RefSeq lists it as uncharacterized. Lineage: Eukaryota; Metazoa; Chordata; Mammalia; Diprotodontia; Phascolarctidae. The record is from RefSeq and is a predicted model, not a curated record.